RNAcentral lists this transfer RNA (76 nucleotides) under Actinobacillus suis. RNAcentral describes it as "tRNA-Ala". It matches the Rfam family "tRNA". From Rfam's summary of the family: Transfer RNA (tRNA) molecules are approximately 80 nucleotides in length. Lineage: Bacteria; Pseudomonadati; Pseudomonadota; Gammaproteobacteria; Pasteurellales; Pasteurellaceae. The record is from RNAcentral.
GGGGAUAUAGCUCAGCUGGGAGAGCGCCUGCCUUGCACGCAGGAGGUCAGCGGUUCGNUCCCGCUUNUCUCCACCA